UACGUAGGUGGCAAGCGAUACUCGGAAUCACUAGGCGUAAAGCGCAGGUAGGAGGUUUGGAAAGUCUCUUGUGAAAGCUCCCGGCUUAACUGGGAGAGGUCAAGGGAAACUGCCAGGCUAGAGUGCGGUAGAGGUAGCUGGAAUUCCCGGUGUAGCGGUGAAAUGCGUAGAUAUCUGGAAGAACACCGAUGGCGAAGGCAACCUCCUGGGCCUGUUCUGACGCUGAGGCACGAAAGCGUGGGGAGCAAACAGG
RNAcentral lists this ribosomal RNA (253 nucleotides) under uncultured bacterium. Its description in RNAcentral is "partial 16S ribosomal RNA". It matches the Rfam family "Bacterial small subunit ribosomal RNA", at positions 524 to 776 of the family's 1533-position model. The record is from RNAcentral.